Molecule: ribosomal RNA, 498 nt
Filed under: Pelobates cultripes (western spadefoot toad)
Lineage: Eukaryota; Metazoa; Chordata; Amphibia; Anura; Pelobatidae
Rfam family: Eukaryotic small subunit ribosomal RNA
Source: RNAcentral
CGGUGGAGGAGGAAGCAGUGGUGGAUGAGGAGGAUGAGGUAGCCAACACUGUUUUUUUAUAUAUAUAUAUAUAUAUAUUUUAAUUGGGGUAGCCCCCAAAAUAUUGGGACAUAUAAAAAAAGACAACUCUGUUCCGCAGAGUAGCUGUUGACAUUAUAGUUGCUCAGCAAAUUUGUUGACUCUAGAGAACCUUGGGCAAAUCGCACAUCCCCGUGGCGGCAACUUUGCAUGCAGAUGUCAUCCAUAUCAACUUUCUAUGCCAGUUUCUGCGCCUACCAUGGUGACCACGGGUAAGGGGGAAUCAGGGUUCCAUUCCGUACAGGGACCCUGAGAAACGGCUACCACAUGCAAGGAAGGCAGCAGGCGCGCAAAUGACCCACUCCCGAUACGGGAAGGUUGUGAUGACAAAUGACAAUACAGGAUUCUUUAGAGGCCCAAUUGUAAUGAGUCCACUUGAAAUCUGUUAACUCUGAUCAAUUGGAAUCCUUUAACUCUGAU